CCUACGGGAGGCAGCAGUGGGGAAUAUUGGACAAUGGGGGGAACCCUGAUCCAGCCAUGCCGCGUGUGUGAAGAAGGCCCUCGGGUUGUAAAGCACUUUCAGUGAGGAAGAACGCCUGGUGGUUAAUACCCAUCAGGAAAGACAUCACUCACAGAAGAAGCACCGGCUAACUCCGUGCCAGCAGCCGCGGUAAUACGGAGGGUGCGAGCGUUAAUCGGAAUUACUGGGCGUAAAGCGCGCGUAGGUGGCUUGAUAAGCCGGUUGUGAAAGCCCCGGGCUCAACCUGGGAACGGCAUCCGGAACUGUCAAGCUAGAGUGCAGGAGAGGAAGGUAGAAUUCCCGGUGUAGAGGUGAAAUGCGUAGAGAUCGGGAGGAAUACCAGUGGCGAAGGCGGCCUUCUGGACUGACACUGACACUGAGGUGCGAAAGCGUGGGUAGCAAACAGGAUUAGAUACCCCAGUAGUC
RNAcentral lists this ribosomal RNA (465 nucleotides) under Vreelandella stevensii. RNAcentral describes it as "partial 16S ribosomal RNA". It matches the Rfam family "Bacterial small subunit ribosomal RNA", at positions 338 to 795 of the family's 1533-position model. The record is from RNAcentral. Lineage: Bacteria; Pseudomonadati; Pseudomonadota; Gammaproteobacteria; Oceanospirillales; Halomonadaceae.